GGCGAGGGCGUCCGGCAUGAUCUUAAUUAAAUCAGAAAGUUAUAAUUGCUGUCAGCACUCAUAAUGCUGGGGUCGGCGGUUCGACUCCGCCCCUUGCUACCA
This 102-nucleotide transfer RNA is filed under the name Marinobacter adhaerens. RNAcentral's name for it is "tRNA-OTHER". The record is from RNAcentral. Lineage: Bacteria; Pseudomonadati; Pseudomonadota; Gammaproteobacteria; Pseudomonadales; Marinobacteraceae.